UUUGUUCAUCUUCGUAACACAAAUGAAGAUCUUUUUGAUGCAAUCUGAGAGCUUUUUUUUUUUUUUUUUUUUUACGCUUCAAAAAGUUCAUAAAGAGAUCAUAAAACGAAUCCAUAUGAAUUUAACGGUUUAGUACAAAUUUUCUGAAAAGAUAUGAUUGCUUUAUACAGUAUGAUGAACAGAUUGAAUUUAGGCUUUUAUUCACAUAAAAACAUUCAUCAAUUCACACAUCAGUUAUGGUAAACAGAAGCUCAUGUGUGAGAACCAUUGAGGUUCGUUCUCGUGUUACGCAGCACGUUUGAGCUUCAGCAAGAACCAAUGAGGUUCGUUCUCGUGUUACGCAGCACGUUUGAGCUUCAGCAAGAACCAAUGAGGUUCGUUCUCGUGUUACGCAGCACGUUUGAGCUUCAGCAAGAACCAAUGAGGUUCGUUCUCGUGUUACGCAGCACGUUUGAGCUUCAGCAAGAACCAAUGAGGUUCGUUCUCGUGUUACGCAGCACGUUUGAGCUUCAGCAAGAACCAAUGAGGUUCGUUCUCGUGUUACGCAGCACGUUUGAGCUUCAGCAAGAACCAAUGAGGUUCGUUCUCGUGUUACGCAGCACGUUUGAGCUUCAGCAAGAACCAAUGAGGUUCAUUCUCGUGUUACGCAGCACGUUUGAGCUUCCGCAAGAACCAAUGAGGUUCAUUCUCGUGUUACGCAGCACGUUUGAGCUUCAGCAAGAACUAAUGAGGUUCAUUCUCGUGUUACGCAGCACGU
Long non-coding RNA from Ctenopharyngodon idella (grass carp), 757 nucleotides. RefSeq lists it as uncharacterized. The record is from RefSeq and is a predicted model, not a curated record. The transcript is spliced from 3 exons. Lineage: Eukaryota; Metazoa; Chordata; Actinopteri; Cypriniformes; Xenocyprididae.